This 74-nucleotide transfer RNA is filed under the name Promethearchaeota archaeon. RNAcentral's name for it is "Candidatus Lokiarchaeota archaeon (microbial mat metagenome) tRNA-Cys". It matches the Rfam family "tRNA". Rfam says of the family: Transfer RNA (tRNA) molecules are approximately 80 nucleotides in length. Their secondary structure includes four short double-helical elements and three loops (D, anti-codon, and T loops). Lineage: Archaea; Promethearchaeati; Promethearchaeota. The record is from RNAcentral.
GCCAGAGUCGCUUAGCGGCUGAGCGCCAGCCUGCAGAGUUGGUUACGGGAGUUCAAAUCUCCCCUCUGGCUCCA